This 500-nucleotide ribosomal RNA is filed under the name Salmonella enterica subsp. enterica serovar Typhimurium. RNAcentral describes it as "bacterial SSU rRNA". It matches the Rfam family "Bacterial small subunit ribosomal RNA", at positions 908 to 1408 of the family's 1533-position model. The record is from RNAcentral. Lineage: Bacteria; Pseudomonadati; Pseudomonadota; Gammaproteobacteria; Enterobacterales; Enterobacteriaceae.
AAUUGACGGGGGGACGCACAAGCUGUGGUGCAUGUGGUUGAAGUCCAUGCAACGCGAAGAACCGGACCGCGUCUUGACAUCCACAGAAGUCUCCAGAGAUGGAGUGGUGCCUUCGGGAACUGUGAGACAGGUGCUGCAUGGCUGUCGUCAGCUCGUGUUGUGAAAUGUUGGGUUAAGUCCCGCAACGAGCGCAACCCUGAUCCUUUGUUGCCAGCGAUUAGGGCGGGAACUCAAAGGAGACUGCCAGUGAUAACCUGGAGGAAGGUGGGGAUGACGUCACGUCAUCAUGGCCCUUACGACCAGGGCUACACACGUGCUACAAUGGCGCAUACAAAGAGAACCGACCUCGCGAGAGCAAGCUGACCUCAUAACGUGCGUCGUAGUCCGGAUUGGAGUCUGCAACUCGACUCCAUGAAUUCUGAAUCGCUAGUAUUCGUGGAUCAGAAUGCCGCGGUGAAUACGUUCCCGGGCCUUUUACACACCGCCCGUCACACCAUGGG